Long non-coding RNA from Talpa occidentalis (Iberian mole), 2522 nucleotides. RefSeq lists it as uncharacterized. The transcript is spliced from 3 exons. The record is from RefSeq and is a predicted model, not a curated record. NCBI's taxonomy places the organism in Eukaryota, Metazoa, Chordata, Mammalia, Eulipotyphla, Talpidae.
CCCGCGGCGCCGUUUUCCCGAUGAGUGAGAGGGCGCCUGGCGGGUUCUCUCCCAUAGGCCGGGGGCGCCCGGGAGGGCACUCGCCCUCUGGCGCCCUCGGGAUCUCGUGGCCGGGCGCCAGACAGAGGCUUCCGUCACGGAUUUCACUCCAGUUCUCGACAGCCCGCGGGUCUGCGCCCCCCCGUGCCGGGUGAUUUCCGGGACCCCGCCACCUCAUGCUUUCACCCGGCUCCAUGUCGGGGACUGCACCUCGCAAUGGAGAAACUGCAAAAUAAGGAGGAAAUUACCCAAGGAUUAUUAUUUUCCUCUUGUAUCAGUACCUGUACCCAAGCAUAUCACAUGCCCAGAACACACACUGGAAAGAAACCUGUGGACGCUGACACCAUGGGAAAGACUUUCAGCACAGUUCAGUGCUUAUGAGGCUGCAUGAGAGAACUCAUACUGGAAACAACCUAUAGAUGUAAUUAUUGUUGAAGUUCCUUGAGGAGGUGUCCUCACUUUUCACUACAAGAAGACUCCUGCUGGAAGAUGACAUGAGUGGGGUCAGUGUGAGCAGGUUUUUAACAGUGGCUUUCACCUUAUCUGAAACCAGUGUCAGAUUUUAUUGAACAUAAUUAAUAUGGAAAAAUACUAUCAGUAUUUCUUUUAAAAAAUAUGUUUAUGUGUAGAAGAAAUAGGGUGCAGUCCAGAUGUGCGGGGGCGGGGAGGUGAGAGGACUCAUCAGAGACAGAGCCGGGAACAGAACAGGCAGACUGACUGAAACACACUGCUGAGGGGAGCAGCGGGGAGACAGGAGAGAUCUGCUGUGCCCUGUGGAAAUCUCCCUGGCAGGCCAGAAAUUGAACUCGCAUCGCAGAGGCUGCAGACAGCUUCACAGCGCUGCGCUCAACCCACUGUGCCACCACAGAGGCCCUGUUAAUUCCUUUUUGACAUACUUAAGAUUAUAGAAAUUUUGUGUACAUGUGUGCAGUGAUAUGUCUUUUUUAAUUCUAUCUGAUUUACCGCAAUCUCAUUAAUUUUUUAAAUUUACAACUGGGACUUUUUUUAGUUGCCUAUUUCUGUAUUUUCUUUUACAAUAGUUAUAGCACUUAGGUGCUGUAACUUUCAUAUUUUAUUUGUGGUAACAAGAACAUCUAAAGUUUCAAAAUUAAGAUUGCUGAGAGCAGAUAACCUUCUUUUAUUCUGAAUGUGUAUAUCCAUCUAUGGUUUUGACUAGAAGGUAAACAAACAAGGCUCAAGAAGAUGGGGGGGUGAUUCCCCUCAGAGGACAAGUUCAGUUUCCUAUGGCUGAGGGAUGUUGAAAUGGGUUGCAUUCAGAACCGCAGCAACCUGUGGCUGGCUGUGCCUUCCCCGUGCCCCAGUGCUGCAAGGAUGAGACCCUGCCGCGAUGAGGACAGCAAGCAGCAGAGCAGCAGCUAUUUGUGGAUGACCUUCUUGGGCCGCAUGUCCCACACUUGGUGUCACCUCAGGGACUUUUUGUGGAAACUGGUGUUAUUUAUGGUAGUUAAAUUUCUGGUUAUUUACAACCACACACACUUUUGGGACAUAGGAUACAAAGGAAUUAACUGCAUUAUUCCCAGCCUAACUUACUGGUUUGUCCAGCAUUCUGUGACUUUCCUGUUUCCCUCACUGAUUUUCUGGAAGUUGGGGUGAUCAGCUGAGGCUCAGGACAGAUUCUUCGCCUUCCCUCACGUGACCCUAUGAGCCUGGGUGUUCUGGAUGCUGAUCUCAUAGUUGAUACCAGGGAAUGCAAGCAAAGAAUGAUAUGUAGCAGCAAUGGGUAGACCCAGAAACUAGGCUUCUGGGAAGGGGAUGAGUAAUAAUUCAUAGGGAAAAUGCUGAUCAAAUGAAUUGUGCUGCUCCAACCUGCAGUUCCCGGUUCUGAGGUGUUCAUGAACUGUUCUAGCGGCUCACAUUUUAAACACAAAGAUGUGUUUUUCCUUUUUGAUUGAUUUAUACAUACAAGAACUGGGAUACAGGCCAGAGGGCAGGGGUGAGAGGACUCCCCAGAAACAGAGUGGGGAGAACAGGUGGAUCCACUGAAAUCCACUGCUGAGGGGAGCAGCAGGGGAGACAGGAGAGGUCUGCCGCGCCAUGUGGGUAGCUCCCUGGCUGGGGAUUGAACUUGUGCUGCAGUGGCUGCGGACAGCUUCAUAGGCUGCGUCUCAAUCCCUUGCGCCACCAGGGAGGCCCCAUCUAUUUUGAAUGACUUUUUAAAAAUGUGUUUCCCUUCACAUGGAACAAUUUGAGAUGCACUGUGAUAGAGGAUGGUGAAUGGUGAAUGAAAAUAACAUCAUAGGGCCAUGAUUCCAUUGCUCUUGUCACCAGUAGCCAUGGUGAUUUGAUCAAUAUAUAAUUUUAUAUCUUAUUUUUAGUCAUAUAUUGUCUAAAUUAAGCCAACAGCGCUCUGUCGAUUAUUGGAAGCAGAGAAAAAAAUGUUUAUUUCAGCAAUUUAGUAUCUCUAGAAGCAUGUGUCUGUGGAGUAUACCAAGAGAAAGUACAAAUUAAACUUUACAACUGAA